CAGCAGCCGCGGGAACACGUAGGGUGCAAGCGUUAAUCGGAAUUACUGGGCGUAAAGCGUGCGCAGGCGGUUUUGUAAGACAGAGGUGAAAUCCCCGGGCUCAACCUGGGAACUGCCUUUGUGACUGCAAGGCUGGAGUGCGGCAGAGGGGGAUGGAAUUCCGCGUGUAGCAGUGAAAUGCGUAGAUAUGCGGAGGAAUACCGAUGGCGAAGGCAGCCCCCUGGGCCAAUACUGACGCUCAUGCACGAAAGCGUGGGGAGCAAACAGGAUUAGAUACCCCUGUAGUCCCUGUCUCUUAUAC
RNAcentral lists this ribosomal RNA (301 nucleotides) under uncultured bacterium. RNAcentral describes it as "partial 16S ribosomal RNA". It matches the Rfam family "Bacterial small subunit ribosomal RNA", at positions 509 to 807 of the family's 1533-position model. The record is from RNAcentral.